GAUGAAGAACGCAGCGAAAUGCGAUAAGUAAUGUGAAUUGCAGAAUUCCGUGAAUCAUCGAAUCUUUGAACGCACAUUGCGCCCUCUGGUAUUCCGGGGGGCAUGCCUGUCCGAGCGUCAUUGCAACCCUCAAGCCCGGCUUGUGUUGGAGCCCUGCGGCUGCCGCAGCCUCCUAAAAGCAGUGGCGGGCUCGCUAUCACACCGAGUGCAGUAGAUUACUCUUCGCUCAGGGCGUGCAGCGGGUUCCGGCCGUGAAACCCCCUACUUUUAAAGGUUGACCUCGGAUCAGGUAGGAAUACCCGCUGAACUUAAGCAUAUCAAUAAGCGGAGGA
Molecule: unclassified non-coding RNA, 332 nt
Filed under: soil metagenome
Description: partial contains 5.8S ribosomal RNA, internal transcribed spacer 2, and large subunit ribosomal RNA
Rfam family: 5.8S ribosomal RNA (bases 1-120)
Source: RNAcentral